GUUAAUAUUAGGUUGGUGCAAAAGUAAUUGUGGCUUCUGACAUUAAAAGUAUUGGCAAAAACCACAGUAACUUUUGCACCAACCUAAUA
Pan troglodytes (chimpanzee) is the source of this 89-nucleotide microRNA precursor. Lineage: Eukaryota; Metazoa; Chordata; Mammalia; Primates; Hominidae. The record is from Ensembl.